RNAcentral lists this ribosomal RNA (496 nucleotides) under uncultured bacterium. RNAcentral describes it as "partial 16S ribosomal RNA". It matches the Rfam family "Bacterial small subunit ribosomal RNA", at positions 28 to 523 of the family's 1533-position model. The record is from RNAcentral.
GAUGAACGCUGGCGGCGUGCCUAACACAUGCAAGUCGAGCGAUGAAAUUAGAAACGGAGUCUUCGGACGAAGUGGAAAAUGGAUUAGCGGCGGACGGGUGAGUAACACGUGAGCAACCUGCCUAUCACAUCGGGAUAGCCUCGGGAAACUGGGAUUAAUACCGAAUGAAACAUAAUCACUGCCUAGUGGAAAUGUCAAAGAUUUAUCGGUGAUAGAUGGGCUCGCGUCUGAUUAGCUAGUUGGUGAGGUAAUGGCUCACCAAGGCGACGAUCAGUAGCCGGCCUGGGAGGGUGAACGGCCACAUUGGGACUGAGACACGGCCCAAACGCCUACGGGAGGCAGCAGUGGGGAAUAUUGCACAAUGGAGGGAACUCUGAUGCAGCGACGCCGCGUGAGCGAUGAAGGCUUUCGAGUCGUAAAGCUCUGUCGAAUGGGAAGAUAAUGACGGUACCAUUUGAGAAAGCCCCGGCUAACUACGUGCCAGCCGCCGCCGUAA